UAGGAUACAAAGAAAGCCUGCAGCUACCAGGUCCACGGGCUGAUAGCCCCACCUCUACGGAGAAGGCUACACGGCGCAUGCUCGAAGGGCGUGACAAGGGGCGGGGCGAGAAGGAAGGGGCGGGGCUGAGGGGAGGGGUGGGGCAGAAGAAAGGGGCCGUGUGCGCCCACAUACUGGAGGAUCAACAUUAUCAUGGCAACCCUGAGGAGGCUGUGAGAGUCUCUGGGGUCCUUGCCGGCCUGCAGAAAAUCAAGCUUUGAGCGGGAAGCUUCGAGGAGACACAGUGUCACAAUUACAAGGUGAGACCAGAUGCCCUGGCCCCGCUGUCUCCUCGCAGGCAGGAGAGGUUUGGGAACACCCACGCUUCCCUCAGCAAGGCAGAACUGCACUGGACGCAUGGAAGUGUGAUUUGGAAAGCGGGACCUUCGUACGGAAUGUUCGGAGUUGUAGUAUCUGUUCUACUCCCAGCCUGUUGGUUCUAGGGCUGCGGACUAUAAUCCCAGCAUGCACUGGGUUUGGGUAAGAGACUGAAGCAUCCAGGUGAAGAACUGGCAUUGCUUCUACCUGUGGAGAGAGGACACCUGUAGGCUGCACGAUUGACUGUGAAUUUAGGAGGAGGAUUAAAAGUUACCUGGCAAACAGUAGGCACCCUACAAAUACUGAUUUUUCCCCCUCCUUUAAAAAGUUUGAUCUCUUGUUAGAUGGUGUUGAGUAAUACAGAAAUGGCAGGUAUGCAUGUGAUUGGUGCUUAAAUGCACACAGUUCCCCAUACCACAAGAGGAAACACACCACAGCCUGAUCAUUAGGACCAACAGCAAAAUAAGUUUGCCUUUAAUCUAUUCACUGCAUAUCUAAACUUUGAUCAAGCCCAUGGACACACCUGAAGACAUGGGGUUUCCUUCUUCUGGGCACAAUCAUCCUUUGAUCAGUGUCUGCUCUGUAAAACAGGAUUCCCCCUAACUCUACCAACCAGCAGAUGGGAAGUAGUAAUCCACCCGUGGACACUUCCUGCUUGCAGCCCACUGCUCUCUCAGGUUCCAGCAUUUGGAGGCAAACAUGAAGCUCCAUCCUCUCCAAUUCUGGGGCAACCGUGUGGAGAUGAUCAAAAUGCUUCACCUUCAAAACUUUCAAAGGAAGAGUUAAUACAGAGUAUGGAUCGUGUAGAUCGAGAAAUUGCAAAAGUAGAACAGCAGAUCCUUAAACUGAAAAAGAAACAAGUAAAAGUCUUUGCCUAAUA
Long non-coding RNA from Homo sapiens (human), 1237 nucleotides. The record is from Ensembl. Lineage: Eukaryota; Metazoa; Chordata; Mammalia; Primates; Hominidae.